UUAUAAUAUUUUUUUUGUUCGCUAAAAAAAAAAGAUAUACAAAGCGUCCUUAAUUACAGUUAAAAGUUGAUUGUUUUAAUAUAAUGUAGGUAUUAUCUCUUAAAAUAUCCGUGACUAAUUUGUUAGCACCUUAUAUAAUCACGUCUUGGUUUAAGCUCAUUUUAUAUAUACACUAGCACUCUCCAGACAUUGAGCGUCCAGACACGUAUCGUGCACCUGCGCGGCCGUGUAACUAUAAUAUGAAUACAUUAACCUUUUGGACGCCGAUGACCGAUAUAUCCGCAUCACAGGUACAACGCCAAAGACCGCUUAAUAGGUCAAAGACCACAGAGCAACAUACCUACGUGCAUAUGCAUAAAGUUCAAUUUCAGCUUUGAAACUGACGUAGCGUCCGAGUGACUGCUUUUGUAUUUGACACGGCGUCGAAAAGGUUAAUAGACACUGUACAGAUGGAUAUUAUUUUGUCUGGCACGCUCAAUGUCUGUAGAUAUAAGCCGACCUUGAUACCGUCUUUAGAUUAUUGCGUCAUACUGCUAUCGUUCCCUUUUUUACCUUGACUGUCUCCUGAUGGAUCCUUUGGAUCCUUUAUUCAUACACCGACACCCAAUAACGUGUACCAUUGUUCCUGACAUAGCUACAGAAGCUGAAACGAAACGUAUUUGUCAGUAGCAACCAUCGUCUAAUAGUUAACUGUCAUUUCGUAAAUCUUAUAAAGCAAGGACUCUAAGCACGAAGAAUCUCGUAUAUUGACCCGACUGUUCCUAUCUCUAUCGCACGCGCAUAUUUAUAUUGCCGCUCCGCUCGUAGUGUCAUUGACUGCCGCCAUUAUGGGCGCCGCACAGUGUCAUUGACCGCCGGCAUCAUGGGCGGAACAGCAAUAUAAUUACGCGCGUGCGAUAGAGAUAGGAACAGGUGUACGAAACGAGGGUUAUCUCUGCUUAGCGUCCCUGCUUUAGCAAAGACAUAAGUUUUACUAAUAAUUAAGAGGACAUUAGUUAUUAUAUAGAUACGUAUUGUAGUUUUAACUGUAAUCAGGGGCCGAUUGCAUAACAAACUACAACUAAUAUUACAAGCGGAACUCCUUAUUUAAUAAGUGAAAUUAGAAAAGGAGUUCCGCUUGUAAUAUUAGUUGUAGUUUGUUAUGCAAUCGGCCCCAGGUGUCUUGAGUGUGGUAAUCAACUAAUCAGAAUUAAGUUCCUUGACAAGCAAUAAAACGUGUAUGGUUGUCAGGAAGUACAAAUACAAAAUACGUUCAAAUGUGGCAUUCCAUUAGAGAAGAAUCCGUAUGCUAUAAGGACCUAUUUAUCAGAAAUUUCAGAUAAAAAGGUAGGUAGGUACUUUAUGCACUUGAAGCAUAACGACCCUUCUUUUGUGAUGGAAAACCACAAAUUAACUCAUACUUUCGCAUGGUAUAUAAUAGUUUAACAUUUUAUACUACUUCGUAUUCAGCUAAUUAUGUACUAUGUAUUCAUUGUACGGUAACAGACUUUAAUUGUAGGUCCAUUUAGGGUUCAAACUAAUUUGGUUGUCAAUACUAACGGUAUGAAAUGUCUAAUGUAAAGUGAACCCUAAAUGGCUCAACAACUUAAAGUUCGUGACUGUACCUAGGUAUAACCUUGUAAGGCCCACCAUACAAAGUUUCCCUAUUUUUAAUUUGGACCUUGUUGUAGUGAUAUUAGGGUGACUUUCGUUUGUUUUAGAAAACAGUGAAAUAAACGAAAUGCAGUUUUUGAAAAGUUCGAAUUAGAUUAAAACAAAGUGUAUAUUAUAAUGCAUAUUGGGCAUUACGAUGAUAAUACGAUGUAACUUGUAAGUCAGUUUUACUCGUCGGAGUGUAAAAUCAUAUCUUCCGCCAAAAGUCUUCCUUAUUAAUGAUUCCUUUCGCAACUAAAACUUUCCAUUUGGAUCAACUAACGAUAAAGUUUAGUAAUUUAUUUCUCGCAAUUUUUAAAUUGGCUGCUUAUUUGUAAGGCUUAUAUUUCAUACAUCCUAUGCUAUGAAUGAAUGAAUGAAUGAUUUUAUCUGUGUGUAAUGAUGCCAUUACAGCGUAUAAGCGAGCGAGCAGCAAGCUAUUGGCAGGCGUGGCUCACUCCGCGAUUUCGUCGCUUUAAUUGCUACAGGUAGCUAAAAGUAUAUCCGUUCCAUCCCAAUUUUGGGGAAAGCCAUAAGCCGCGCGUGGCGCUGUCGCCACCUAGCGGCCAUAUCUGUUCUGAUCGUAACAGACGCGUUUUGUUAGAGAGUGAGUCUUCUGUACCUAGUACUAUUAUUUAUUCUGUGCUAUUGUCUAGAAUUUAUAAAGCCUAAGGAAAAUUCGUACCUCGACUGUUAUGGCUGAAGUAGAUGGUUCCGUAUAUUGUGCGGUGAAUCUGACUGUCAAAAGUCGAUGUUUGGCAAUCUCGUUGCCACAAAACUAGGGAGUGCUCCCGGUACUGGUUUUCUAUACAAACACAGUACCGGAACCGGGAAUUCCCGGUUCUCGCCGUACAAGCUCAGUACCGGGAGCAUUCCCCACACAAAACAUGUGGCGACUGUACAGCGCCAUCUACAGCUGUGAACGUUGGAUAACUUUUCUGUAUAGAGUUGUUCACUAACUCUUUGUUAUUAUUCUAUUAUGCUCCUAUCAUGCUACCCUUAAAACUGAAUUUCCCGCUCAAAACAAUAUUUUUGUACUUACCUUGCUAAAAUAUGAGAUAUAAGCUUUAGGAAGUAAGCAUUUUAAAAGUUGGAUUCUUGUAGAUAUGUAUUAAGUAAUUAGUUCAAUUGGUGCAUAUGUUUUAAUUGGUGUCCAGGAGAAAAAAAAGGUUAUUUGUACUCGUCAAUGUGCAAUGAAAUUUAAAAAUAUUAAUGUUAGUAUUAGUCACAUGCUCUAUCAGAGGCCCAUUUCUCGAACUAUAUUAGACUAAUAUUAUUAGUCCACGAACUGUCAAAUUGUAUGGGUUGCCAUGACAACACACUAAUAAUAUUAGUCCACGAACUGUCAAAUUGUAUGGGUUGCCAUGACAUCACACUAAUAAUAUUAGACUAAUAUCUUUCGAGAAAUGGGCCCCAGCAUCUAGUGGUAUCUGUAUCUUUGAGAUAGUUAAAAGAUGGCUCUGUACUUUAAUACAAGUGUUUGCUUUCAUUGUGGUUUUAUCCGUGUCACAGGCAUCGCCAAGAUCUUCGAAUUUAUUAAAAAAAUCUGUGAAAUUAACUUUCCGAUAAAACGUUUAUUAAGUAGCGCCAUCUACAACAAUGAUGACUAUGAUAAGGCAAAGUAGCUUUAUAAAGAGGAUAACACUCUUUAUUGUAUUACUUUUCUCUGAUUUCUGACUUUUUUUAACCUUUUGGCCGCCGGACCUAGUCCGCAAAGACGCUCACUCACACGCCAGAGUAAAUUUUAAGUAAACAACUAAUAAAAAGUUUAGGGAUUGCAAAUUGUGAUAUCGAUAUUUACAAUUUAUGGUAAAAAUCUUCUCAAUUUGGCUUUGUUCUCAACCAACUUUAAUUUAUUUCGAGAAUGCCAAAACUUAACAUAUUUUUUACACACGACAAUGUUAAAAAUAAAGGUCUUUAUCAUUAAAAACAACCACUAAACAAUAUCGAUUCAUGACGUAAUAUCACCGCACUAGGCUCUACGAGAAGUCUUGUAUACAUGACAACGGCGCGCAUGGACUGCCCGCAGUGCGGACCGACAAGGACCGUUUCCACGCGGAUUAAGUAAUAAUAGUCUCUAGGUCAACGGCGUAAGCGCUUGUCGGUACGUAAACUUUAUAAGCGUUAGGUUAGAGCCGCGCAUCGUGUGUCGAUAACAUAAAUAUACCGGAACUGCGUUGGGGAAAAUGGCACGUGGGUUGAAUUGUCAAUGAGUGAACAACAAUAAUAUUGGAAAAGGGUGGGGAUCAGAAAUGUUCGGGAAUGCAUGUUUCACAUUCGACAUGUUCCUUAGAAGAGCUUGUCAGUUCCCGUAUUACACCCUCCCUACCAUAAUAAUUUUUCGUCAAUUUCAAAUACAUAGGUAACAUUCUCAUAGUUAGGCGACACUGACUAGUCCGAGCGUCCGCCUGUAGGUACCAUUCUUGUGCGAAGCGGUCACUGCAGGGUAUCACUCCCCACUAUACUGCAAAACGUAAUUCAAGACCAAAAAAAGUACGACAAUGUUGCCAUUGCAAUAAUUUGUUUGUAAAAUAGUAAAUUCCUUUUGAUAAAUAAUCACGCUCAGAUAAUUUAUUGCUUAGUAAUUUUACUACUACUAUUUAAUAAAGUACUUUUAUUUAUUUAUUUGUACAUAAAUACAAGACGCGCUAGUAAAAAGUGGCAACAUUUCUUACUUUUUUUGGUCUUGAAUUACGUUUUGCAGUAUACACUAUCAUCUCAAAAUGAAUCAUUUGUUCUGCAAAUAGACCACAAGGACAGAUUUACUUGUCUGACUCUACUAUGGACAGCUGAACAAGUUCCCUGAACUCCAGCUAUAGUUAUGCCUGUCUCUCUCUCGUUUCACGUAUUCUAGUUACUAGUUAUCACCAAUUGGCAUUUAACAGGUGUUAAAAUGCUUAAAUAAAACCAGAUUGGCCACUUGAUAUUUAAUUUGAAUAUUCUCUAGAGAUGCACCGGAUAUUCGGUUACUAUCCGGUAUCCGGCCUAUCCGGCCAGUAUUAUAAUAUCCGGCCGGAUACCGGAUAGUACCAUUGCUUGAUUUCGGAGUAAACGAAUUGGAUUUAAGAAACAGUCACGGUCAUAAUCGUACUUGUUUAUUAUUUUAAAACAAUUUAGAGAUUUCACUGACUUCGAACUCAUUUCGAACCUAGAAAUGUGUCCGCGCGAACGUUCACUUAGAAACAGGUCAAAACUGCAGAAUGCGCACCUGAAAAACCGAAAUGUAGGUGCAGCUCCGCUGGCCGAAUAUUCGGCGGCCGGAUACCAGAUAUUCGGCCGAUGGUCAGGCCGAAUAUCCGGUAUCCGGCCAAACAACUAUCCGUUGCACCUCUAAUAUUCUCAUAUCGAGUUAACAUUCCCAUCCCUAGCUGUCUUGUAUACAAGACAACGGCGACGAGGAACAUGAAAAACGUUGAAAACUGGAGCAAUUUUUUUGAUUGCCUUAUUAUAAAAGAAUGGAUUUAUUUAUCUGCUUUGAAUGCAAUUAUUUUAAAAAUCAAAGACCCAAAAAUAUUAACACGAGUGUAAAAAAUACUACAAUUGAUGUUUUUUCUCAUUUACGGAGCGGUUGAAUUUGUGUCUUGUAUACAAGACAGCGGCGCCAGUGUAUCGUUCUAUCGUUGUCUUGUAUACAUGCCAACGGCGGUCAAAGGGUUAAACGUUAUGUAUGAAUCAUUAGUUGAAUAUUAGUGCAGAUAAAAAAAAAAAUUGAUCGUGAAAUUAAAUACAGACGUUUUAAUUGUAACAAUGUAACUUUUGUAAAGGAUUAAAUUUAUUUGAAUAUUAUUAGCAUAGCUUAGGUUCGAAAUUAUCUCAUUAAAAAUAAAUAAUCAAAAAUCUACUAAUUAUGCGAGAGUGAAGUUCCGAAAUAUCUAAUCAAUUUACGAUUGUAUUUAAUCGUAGCCAGAAUACAUAUUAAUUUAAAAACGGUCAAUCCAUGAUCGGUCCGAUCAAGAAUCGAAACGGACCAUUCCAUGAAACGGGAAAAUACGAAGGAAAAUAAUUAGUAUCUGGGGGUCGAUUUUUGAAUUUCGAUCGAUCGAUUUCGUCACUCGAAAAUCGGUGGAAAACGACGAAAUGCUAAUUUUUGAAAUACGAGCGAUCGAAUUUUGGAAUCUAUUGGUAUUGACCACUCGAUUUCAAUUCUAUUAGUAGAAUUUAAAUGUCUAGUGGUGGAGAUAUUAUUUAACAAAAUACACGAAAUCGAGUGGUCGAAUUUCAAAAAUCGGCCCCCUGCUAUUGUUCUGUCCCCGUGUCAUGAAGUGCUACAUUUAUGCAUGUUUUUGUCGAUACCAAAACCAACGACGGAGAGUAAUUUAUUUGAGGCCAAAGUUUCUGUUAUAAAAUAUAUAUUUGUGUGCUUCUGCCAAUUUCGUAAACGUAAUGCGCACAAAAAAGGCAAAAGUACAGUCAGCAGCAGAAAUUGCUAAGCGGGCGAGUUGUUCAAAAAUACCUUGACGCGCGCGCUCUUAUUCUCUUAACAAUAAAGUCGCGUCAAGAUCAUUUUGAACACCUUGCCCGCUUAGCAACUAUUGCUGCUGACAGUGCUUACUUUACAGGCUUUUGUUUGCGUUGCGUUUAUAAUGAUUACUUUAGAUGUUGGCAUGGGUGGCGGAUUUUCAAGGUACGUUAAUGAACUAAUGACUGAAUAAAACGUGCGUUUUACAAGAGUAGACCAUAAUUUGUAUAUUUUAAAUCCCGAGAGCUAAGUAAAAUAUUUCUAUUUACUAUGUAUGUUACUUUGUUCACACGUAACCUCGCGGAUUAUUGUUAUUAUGCCAAUGUGUACAUUAUUUAUUGUUAAUAGCUAUUUUAUUGCAUUUUGGGCAUUGACAUAUAUCUAAGGACUGGCCUUACACUAAAAAUGGUACUAGGUCAGCGGUGUCUCGCACGAAUUCGAGCCAAUCGUGCAGACUAACGCUACCAAUCGCGCGCGUGUUGCGAGCUUAUCAACUAAUCGCGCGCGUGAUGUAAACUCAUCAACCAAUCGCGUUCUUCUGGCCCCAUUCUUAUUACCCGUAAGGCCAGUCCUUAGGUAUCUACGUCAAUGAUUUUGGGAUAUGUCAAGCCAUAAAGAGGUAGUCAUUGUUACGGAUUGCAAUUAUGUGAUGGUUGGAUGUGAUAAGGUGAAAACAAUACAUUAUAUACAAUUUAAGUAGCUUUACGUGUUAUGUUUAUUCAUAUUGUACAUCAUUUUUCAGAAUGUCUAUGGAUGGACCCAUCGCAAAAGUCGCACAACCGUUUUCUAUUAUAUUAGGUGGUUCAUACUGGAUGCGAUUCGCACGUCGCUCCGAUGUGCGACCGGGAUGUUGCUAUAAUACGCGCAUAGCGUUGUUUCGUUCAAACAUCGGUGCGACGUGCGAAUCGCAUCCAGUGUGACAACCGCCUUAAAUAGUCACUAUAGUUCGUUUUUUUUAGCAUUAGAAAGAACUUGAAAGAAGGUAAGCGAUCUUGGCAUGUCUUUUAAUUGAAAAACGCUUUUUAAAAAUCAAUAACAAUUACUUAUGAAAGCAGAAGAAUAUAAAUGAUCGUAUUAGAUUCGUAAUUGUUACAUAUUUGCCGUAACUUAUUUUUAAAAGGUGUUUUUCAAUUAAAAGACACAUCAAGAUUGUUUACCUAAUUUCUAAUGCUAAAAAAAACGAAGUAUAUUUGUACAAAUCAGUACAUUUUGAAAAUUGCUUGGGUGUAGUAAAUUAUAUUUUGGACAGGUUUGCGUGUAACCAAAACAUAAUUUAUGUAAGACUAGAUAUAAAUAACGAUAAUGUGUAGAUGUAUUUUUAUACAUGCUAAGCUGUAUUUUACUACGUAGAGUAUCUAAGGCAAACUUUGUUAUUUUGUAAGACAUUCAUACCAUCAUACCAAUAAAAGUAUAAACAUAU
Molecule: long non-coding RNA, 7511 nt
Organism: Cydia fagiglandana
Lineage: Eukaryota; Metazoa; Arthropoda; Insecta; Lepidoptera; Tortricidae
Exons: 2
Source: RefSeq, a predicted model, not a curated record